AAAACAGUGAAAUUAAAGCUAAGUCACUCAUAGGACUACCUUCCUAAUAUAACCACUUUGGCUUUGUUGACUAUGUAAGACCUCAGAACUGAAACCAAUAAAUCAGGCAGUGGUGCGUGCCGAUAAUCUCAGCUACUGGGAAAUCUGAGGCAGGAGGAUCACAAGUUCAAGGACCACUGGGCAACUUGGUGAGACCCUGUCUCAAGUAAAAUUAGAAAAGACUGAGAAUGUAUAUCAGAGGCAGAACAAUCUUGGGUUCAAUCCAGAGUACCCCCAAGAAAAAGGAGAACAUAAGUCUGCAGGAGAAUUGUGCAUGAAUGUUCAUUUCAACAUUUCUGAUAGCCAAAAAGUGGAAAUAGCCAAAAUGUCCAUCAACUAGUUAAUGGAUAAAUAAAAUGAAGUAUAUCCAGGGACUGGGGAUAUAUCUCAGUGGUAGCAAAAAAAAAAAAAAAAAGUAUCCAUAUGUUUCAGAGGUACAUAAUAUAAUAUAUUUGAUGACUUUUUAGUAGGACUUACAGACUUAGCAUAUAAUCAUGUUGGUGGUUAAAACUCAUUACAGGCCAGAGACUGAGGGCAUAGCUCAGUGGUAGAAAACUUGUCCAGCACAUACAAGGCCUGAGUUCCAUUCCCAAAGCUGAAAAAAAAAAAAAAAUUCAUACAAUUUUGCUAUGGUUAGUGAGGCCUAGCCAGCCCAACCCUAAGUUCAUAUAAGGGAGGAAAAAAGUAUAAUAUUAUUUGCUGGGUAUGGUGGUGCUCGCCUGUUAAUUCUAGUGACUAGAGACUGAGCAAGAGAGUCAAAAGUUUGAGGCCAGCCUGGGCAAGUUAGGGUGAUCCCUGGGUUCAACCCCCAGAACUGGGGGGGGGAAGAAAGUGCAGUCAACACCUGUAAUCCUGGCUACUUCAAAGGCCAAGGUAGAAGGAUCACAAGUUCGAGACCAGCCUGGGCAGUUUAAUGAGGACUAGGGAUAUAGCUCAAUGGUAGAGCGCCCCGUGUCCAAUCACCAGUACUUUAAACCAGCAAAGGGGAAAGUUAUAAUGGAGCAAAGUCAAGAGGAAACCAGGCGAAAACUUCCAAGAGUCCUCCCUCAGUGGAGUCACACAGGAUGAACUUAAAACUUCCAGGAAUGAGAUAUGAUAAUGUGUGAAAUGUUAUCUACUGGGGAAACUUCAUCCUAAACUCCAUUCCUAAGAUUUUUAUCUGGAUUGGCACCCUCUGUCUAACACUAAUACCAAGAUUCAUACUCCCAGAAUGAAAGCAGGUAAACAGCAAUAACCAGAGCUUACACAAUGAGUUGCAGCAGAACAAACCAUAGAGAAUGGUGAAAAUCUUCCAAAAUCCUACUUCCUGGAUACUAGUCACACAUAGACAAUUAAACAGGCCUUUAUAAGGUUAGCUAUCUCAGAAUUGUGAUGUUAAUGCUUUUUUGCACACUACAAUGGAUUGUUAGGAAUAAAAUACUGAUAUGUGCUACAGCAUGGAUGAAUGUGGAAAACAUUACACUAAGUGAAAAAAUCCGGUAACGAAAGGCCACAUGUUGUAUGAUUAAUUGUGCUAAUAUGCCUCUAUCCCUUUUUCUCCACUGCAUACGAUCUAGUAUCAAAGUUCUUUUUUAAAAAUAAAACAUAGUAAAUCAAGGCAGGAAAAAAGCCCUCCAGAGCUUUGGUGAUUUUAAGAAGAUCCCUCUUCUAAACUCAAAAAAGUAAAUGAAAAUUUGAGUUCUGACUAGAUAAAAUGAUCUGCUUAUAGUUCCAGUCUAGAAUUUUCAGGGAUCUUUAUUUUAGCCAUCCCUGAUAAGUCCUGCCAGGGUAACUGCUGGGUGUUCGUUUUUUCUUCUUCCUUUCAUCCCAGAAGUAUUAUGUUAACUGGCUCUUUGUUAUAUCCAGAGCAAUUAUCUGACUCAUUUUCCUGUGAAAAAAUUUGAGUUUUUCUUUUAUUCUUCCUAAUAACCCCUGUCCUCCACACACUAGUUUUUAUUGAUUCCAGAUUCCCAUAAUCCUUCUAUGUAUCAGCCCUUUCUCCAAAGUAAUGUACGCUCUAUAGAAUAUUGAUAAAGUAUAAAAGUUUUCUCCACUUUUUUCUCAUUAAAAAUUAUAUAUGUGUGUGUGUGUGUGUAUAUAUAAAUAAAUAAAUAAAUACACCCGGUGUGGUAGUACACACCUCUUAUCCCAGUUACUCAGAAGGCCAAGACAGGAGGAUUACGAGUUCAUGACCAGCCUCAGCAAUUUAGCAAGACUGCUUAAGAGCAACUAAGACUUGACUGCUUAAGAGCAACUAAGACUUACCUCAAAAUAAAAAUAAAAAAGACUGGAGAAAUAGCUGGGCGUGAAGGUGCACACCUGUAAUCCUAGUGGCUGGGGAGGCGGAGGCAGGAGGAUCAUGAGUUCAAAGCCAGCCUCAGCAACUUAUCGAGACCCUAAGCAAAUCAGGAACAUUGUUUCUGUUUCUCUGGAAAAUCCUGACUCAUUACAAUCAUCACUGAGGUGUAUCCUCAGUUAAUGAAGUCAAGCACAUAACUCCAUAACACAUCUUCACAAGGACUUCCAGGUGUGCUAAGAGGACUGGCACAUUUCUCCUCUCCUUCAGAAGAGUAGGAAACAUCCGGUUCGGGAGGCUGAGACAUGAGGAUUGAGAAUUCAAAGCCAGCCUCAGCAACUUAGUGAGGAACUAAGCAACUCAGGGAGACCUUGUGUCUAAAUAUAAAGAGGACUGGGGAUGUGGCUCAGUGGUAAAGCACCCCUGGGUUCACUCCCCAAUACCAAAAACACCUAGUUUGAAAACUCUCUAAACUCCUUACUCUUCUUUUUUAUAAGGUGAAAGAGCAAAUAUUUGGGUUCCCUAAAAUGGCUUUUAGGAAACCCAAAUAUAUUUUAAGGAUAAAAGGCAUCCAGACAUUGUUAUUCUGAAUUUGGGGCCUAACGUGGUAAAGACAAAGUUUAGAAUUAUCAGAAGACAAGAUAUAUAUAGAAGUCAUAAUUUUAAAAGCUUAAGACAUAGUUUUUAAACAUUUAAAACUAUAGUAAUGGGGAAUAGUUAUUACUAGGAACUUAAAAGUGAGAGGGGAAAAAAUUUUUUUGUCAAAGUUAUUCUAGAGGAUGCCAGAAAUUCAAAGAAUUAAUAGACUUUUGGUGAUUAAAAACUAACUGAGGGCUGGGGAUGUAGCUCAGUGGUAGAGCACUUCUCUAGCAUACACAAGAUCCUGGGUUCAAUCCCCACACUGCAAAAAGAAAUUAGUAUAACUCUGAAAGGCCAAAAAGAUACUAAAAGUCUAGAUCCAGUCAAAACCCAUGCCUUCAAAGACAAACAGACCUAUAGGGGAGACUAAAGCCCUCAUGUGCUUAAUCAUUACUGAGUUAGGGUGCUAGUUCAUGGCCAUUCUUCAUGGUUGUUAUUCAAGCUCAGUGAGACUGAGACUAUCAGCGACAAACCUGUACUCAAAGAAAGUGAGAUUUACUAACAUAUUGCAACAAAAGAGAUUCUACAUAAGAGAAACUAUGAGAAGUCUCACCAACCAAAAUAAAUGACAACUUACAGGAUUGAGGGAAGGGUAACAUCUAGGUGAAGUUUUUAAAUGAAGCAAUGCUUUGAUAGGAUCAAAGCAAAGCAGGGUCGCACAUAAAGGGAGACAAAAUUAGGUCUGGGCCACAAUAUAUAGGCUCCUGUUUUCUUGGAAACUAUGAAGUUAAAGGGGAAGGUGGAAUGUCAUCUUCAGAAACCUCUUUGAAGCUCUGCACUUGGAUUGGAAAUCAGAUUUGCUUCUUUGUACCUUAGAUUGUCCAGCCAAAAGUGGGAUAUUUCAUCGUUAAAGUUUGUAUGUGAGGUGUCCCUCAAAAGCUUUGGGCGGGGGGCGGACAGAAAAUGCAAAAAGGUCCAGAUGAGAAAUGAUUGAAUUGUGAAAGUUUUAACCUAAUCAGUGAAUUAAUCCCCUGAUCUGGAUUAACUGAGCUGUAACUAAAGUGAAUAGCUGGAGGAGGGUGGAACAUUGGGGGAGUGGCUUUGGGGUAAAUAUUUGCAUCUGGAGGGUGGAGUUUGUUUUCUGAUCACCUUUUGAGCUGCUUCCCUCUGCCCCACACUCCACCAUGAUGUUUGGCCUCACCUCAAGCCCCAGGGAAUGGAGCCUAUUGUCUAUGGAUGGAGACCUCUGAAACCUUGAGCCCUCAAAUAAACUAUUCCUCCUCUACAAUUGAUCUGCUUGGGUCCUUAAGUCACAGCAAUGAAAACACUCUCUAAAACAUUUGUUCUUCCUGAUACAAUUUCAAGCAGCAAAGUUUCUAGUCUAUGAUUUUAGCAAAAUCUAAACUAACUGGAUUUCUUUCAUCAGGAUUAUUGUGAGAAUUAAACAGUUUUAGCAGGUGAAUAUGUUUAGCAGGGUUUGACCUUACCCAAAAUAUGCUAUCCAGAGUCCUUUUUAUUGGGGGGAUUGAACCCAGGGAUGCUUUACCACUGCACUACAUCUAUUUUUAUUUUUUUAUUUUGAGACAGGGUCUUGCUAAAUUGCUUAGGGCCCUUGCUGAAUUGCUGAUGCUGGCCUCAAACUUGAGAUGGUCCUGCACCAGAGUCUCAACCUACAUGGAGACUUGAUAGGUUAGGGAAAAUAAUUGUUUCUUUAAAUCAUGCUUGCUUAUUAUGUUACUCAAUUUUUUCAGUAGCCUCAGUUUUGUUUAUUUAAUUUAUUGGGCUUUUGAGAGAGGUGGAUUAGGUCAACAAGAUUUGUUUAAUUUUUCCUGAUUUC
This 4730-nucleotide long non-coding RNA is filed under the name Marmota monax (woodchuck). Lineage: Eukaryota; Metazoa; Chordata; Mammalia; Rodentia; Sciuridae. The record is from RNAcentral.